This 239-nucleotide long non-coding RNA is filed under the name Musa acuminata (dwarf banana). RNAcentral's name for it is "long non-coding RNA (MACU_LNC001490)". The record is from RNAcentral. Lineage: Eukaryota; Viridiplantae; Streptophyta; Magnoliopsida; Zingiberales; Musaceae.
GGUGGAUGACGUAGCCGCCGGAGUAGUCCAUGACGCCCCAUUGGAAGAGGAAGCCGCCUCCCCAGAGGGAGAAGGCGCCGAUGGUGUAGGAGAAGGUGAGCCACAAGGGGACGAAGAGAAUCCACGCCUUGAAGUUCAUGCGGCCGAGGAGGGAGCCGGCAAGGAGGAUGAGGGUGAUGGCCGCAAAGACGCACUGGAAGUACACCAUGGAGGCCAUGGGGUACAGGAGUUCGAGUUCG